Molecule: ribosomal RNA, 443 nt
Filed under: uncultured bacterium
Lineage: Bacteria
Description: partial 16S ribosomal RNA
Rfam family: Bacterial small subunit ribosomal RNA
Source: RNAcentral
CCUACGGGUGGCAGCAGUGGGGAAUAUUGGGCAAUGGGCGCAAGCCUGACCCAGCAACGCCGCGUGAAGGAAGAAGGCUUUCGGGUUGUAAACUUCUUUUCUCAGGGAAGUAGAAAGUGACGGUACCUGAGGAAUAAGCCACGCCUAACUACGUGCCAGCAGCCGCGGUAAUCCGUAGGUGGCAAGCGUUAUCCGGAUUUACUGGGUGUACAGGGCGUGUGGGCGGGGAAGCAAGUCAGAUGUGAAAACCACGGGCUCAACCUGUUGCCUGCCUUUGAAACUGUUUGUCUUGAGUACUGGAGAGGCAGACGGAAUUCCUGGUGUAGCGGUGAAAUGCGUAGAUAUUAGGAGGAACACCAGUGGCGAAGGCAGUCUGCUGGACAGCAACUGACGCUGAGGCGCGAAAGCGUGGGGAGCAAACAGGAUUAGAUACCCCUGUAGUC